Molecule: ribosomal RNA, 253 nt
Filed under: uncultured bacterium
Lineage: Bacteria
Description: partial 16S ribosomal RNA
Rfam family: Bacterial small subunit ribosomal RNA
Source: RNAcentral
UACGUAGGUGGCAAGCGUUGUCCGGAUUUACUGGGCGUAAAGAGCGCGCAGGCGGUCCGAUCAGUCGAAUGUGAAAGCCCCCGGCUCAACUGGGGAGGGUCAUUCGAUACUGUCGGACUCGAAGGCAGGAGAGGGAAGCGGAAUUCCAGGUGUAGCGGUGAAAUGCGUAGAUAUCUGGAGGAACACCGGUGGCGAAGGCGGCAUCCUGGACCGGCAUUGACGCUGAGGCGCGAAAGCCAGGGGAGCAAACGGG